Molecule: long non-coding RNA, 912 nt
Organism: Diorhabda sublineata
Lineage: Eukaryota; Metazoa; Arthropoda; Insecta; Coleoptera; Chrysomelidae
Exons: 2
Source: RefSeq, a predicted model, not a curated record
CUCCAAUAAUUACAUGAGUACAUGCCUUCUUACUGAAUAUUGUAGUUACAUUCCGGUGUUUUCCAUGCUAACAAUGAAUUUUAAAGUGAUAAGAUAACACUAUUAUUAUUAUAAUAAAAUAAAUUUUCAAAUAAUAAACAAAACGGCAAGUAUUUUUGUUAGUAGAUUCUCUAGUAGACGCAGAUGAACUAAAUUAAAUAAAGAGAAAUUAUCCGGUGCACUUAUUCAAUUUAUUUUGAUGAAUUAAUUUGAACGAGUCAUUUUCAUCACACAUCACUUUAUAAUACAAAAAUUGACACCAGUUGGAAAUAUAAUCAAAUUGGCAUUUGACAAUUUUGUAGCUAGCAUAUUCACAAACGAGGUCUUAAAAAAGAAGAGUUCUUUAGCUUUCAAAUUGUUUUGUAUUUAAUAUAAUUUAAAUUAGAUUCAAUUUUAUAUUUUUAAUAUGUCUGAUGUCGUGAAUUGUUCAUACAAAGUUUAUUGAAACAAUAUUUUAUUUUUUUGUUUCAAUUUUCGUUUAUUCGAAAUAUUUUCGGUAAUGGUUGAUUGCUGUAAACUUAACAAGAUUAUAAUAUCUUUGUAGCAGAAGAAUAAAUGUUUAUAUAUAAUCUGUAAUCACUUUCCUUUAAAAUGUUUAAAUUUAGUUUAAAAUGUGGAGAUAGUGUAAAAGAAAUAAAUAUUGCAACAAGCUUAAAUAACUGGAAGGAAUAUAGACACUCCAUGAAAAAUUUUCAAACAAUUAUUAAUGAAUAUUUAACCAAGUUAGUCAAUGAUGAAAAAAGUGGAGAUCAUGUUGAGGAUGAAGAAGAUUCUGAAGAAUCGGAUACAGAAGAUGAUACAUAUUCCAGACAAAAAUUAGACCCAUCUAGAAAUAAAAUAAGAAAAUUGGAUUAAAUAUAUAAUUCAAUUACA